This 429-nucleotide ribosomal RNA is filed under the name uncultured bacterium. RNAcentral's name for it is "bacterial SSU rRNA". It matches the Rfam family "Bacterial small subunit ribosomal RNA", at positions 355 to 775 of the family's 1533-position model. The record is from RNAcentral.
UGGGGAAUUUUGCGCAAUGGGCGAAAGCCUGACGCAGCAACGCCGCGUGGAGGAUGAAGGAUCUCUGAUCCGUAAACUCCUGUCGGCCGGGAAGAAACGGCAGGGCGCUAAUCAGCCCUGCCUUGACUGUACCGGCAAAGGAAGCCCCGGCUAACUCCGUGCCAGCAGCCGCGGUAAUACGGGGGGGGCAAGCGUUACUCGGAAUUAUUGGGCGUAAAGGGCGCGUAGGCGGUCGUGUGCGUCGAGGGUGAAAUCCCCGGGCUUAACCCGGGAGCUGCCUUCGAUACGGCACGGCUUGAGUCCGGGAGAGGGGAGCAGAAUUCCCAGUGUAGCGGUGAAAUGCGUAGAUAUUGGGAGGAAUACCGGUGGCGAAGGCGGCUCCCUGGACCGGUACUGACGCUGAGGCGCGAAAGCGUGGGUAGCAAACAG